RNAcentral lists this unclassified non-coding RNA (252 nucleotides) under uncultured Diversispora. RNAcentral describes it as "sequence contains 18S rRNA gene". It matches the Rfam family "Eukaryotic small subunit ribosomal RNA", at positions 569 to 829 of the family's 1831-position model. The record is from RNAcentral. Lineage: Eukaryota; Fungi; Glomeromycota; Glomeromycetes; Diversisporales; Diversisporaceae.
AGCAGCCGCGGUAAUUCCAGCUCCAAUAGCGUAUAUUAAAGUUGUUGCAGUUAAAAGCUCGUAGUUGAAUUUCGGGGUUAGUAGGUUGGUCAUGCCACUGGUAUGUACUGAUCUUACUGAUUCCUCCUUCCUGAUGAACCGUAAUGCCAUUAAUUUGGUGUUGCGGGGANACUGGACUGUUACUUUGAAAAAUUGAGUGUUUAAAGCAGGCUAACGCUUGAAUACAUUAGCAUGGAAUAAUGAAAUAGGACG